CGGAAGGGUGAGGAACGCGUGAGUAAUCUGCCCCUCAGUUGGGAAUAACAGUUGGAAACGACUGCUAAUACCGAAUGUGGCUUAGGUUCCGCAUGGGACUUUGGCUAAAGAUUUAUCGCUGAGGGAUGAGCUCGCGUCCCAUUAGGUAGUUGGUGAGGUAACGGCUCACCAAGCCGACGAUGGGUAGCUGGUCUGAGAGGAUGGUCAGCCACACUGGGACUGAGACACUGCCCAGACUCCUACGGGAGGCUGCAGUCGAGAAUCUUGGGCAAUGCGCGAAAGCGUGACCCAGCAAUGCCGCGUGUAUGAUGAAGGCCCUCGGGUCGUAAAAUACUGUCUCCCGUGACGAAAUUUGACGGUAGCGGGGAAGGAAGCCACGGCUAACUACGUGCCAGCAGCCGCGGUAAUACGUAGGUGGCGAGCGUUGUUCGGAUUUAUUGGGCGUAAAGGGUCUGUAGGAGGUUUGUUAAAUACGGGGUGAAAUCCGGAAGCUCAACUUCCGAAUUGCCUUGUAGACUGACGGACUGGAGUACCGGAGAGGUAAGCGGAAUACCAGGUAUAGCGGUGGAAUGCGUAGAUAUCUGGUAGCACACCAAAAGCGAAGGCAGCUUGCUGGACGGAAACUGACUCUGAAAGACGAAAGCAUGGGGAGCAAACAGGAUUAGAUACCCUGGUAGUCCAUGCCGUAAACGUUGUCAACUUGAUGUGGGGGGAUUUAGUCCUCUCCGUAUCGAAGCUAACGCGAUAAGUUGACCGCCUGGGGACUACGGCCGCAAGGCUAAAACUCAAAGGAAUUGACGGGGGCCCGCACAAGCGGUGGAGCAUGUGGCUUAAUUCGAGGCAACGCGAAGAACCUUACCUGGUCUUGAAAUAUAUCGGAUCG
RNAcentral lists this ribosomal RNA (883 nucleotides) under uncultured bacterium. Its description in RNAcentral is "bacterial SSU rRNA". It matches the Rfam family "Bacterial small subunit ribosomal RNA", at positions 99 to 998 of the family's 1533-position model. The record is from RNAcentral.